CGUAACACGUGAGCAACCUACCGAAGUGUGGGGGAUAGCCGGUCUAACGGCCGAGUAAUACCGCAUACGAUUCCGAAGAGGCAUUUCUUUGGAAUGAAACCUACGGGGUACUUCGAGGGGCUCGCGGCCUAUCAGCUAGUUGGUGAGGUAACGGCUCACCAAGGCGACGAUCAGUAGCUGGUCUGAGAGGAUGAUCAGCCACAUUGGGACUGAGACACGGCCCAA
RNAcentral lists this ribosomal RNA (225 nucleotides) under uncultured bacterium. RNAcentral's name for it is "partial 16S ribosomal RNA". It matches the Rfam family "Bacterial small subunit ribosomal RNA", at positions 109 to 334 of the family's 1533-position model. The record is from RNAcentral.